This is a small nucleolar RNA of Magnolia sinica, 76 nucleotides long. RefSeq annotates it as small nucleolar RNA Z155. Lineage: Eukaryota; Viridiplantae; Streptophyta; Magnoliopsida; Magnoliales; Magnoliaceae. The record is from RefSeq and is a predicted model, not a curated record. The transcript has a single exon.
CCUUGAUGUGAUGAUAAUUGUUCACGGAAUAUAUCUGUGUCGACACAAAAUUCAGACUACAAUUAUCUGAUCAAUG